Molecule: long non-coding RNA, 1351 nt
Filed under: Macaca mulatta (Rhesus monkey)
Lineage: Eukaryota; Metazoa; Chordata; Mammalia; Primates; Cercopithecidae
Description: lncRNA (ENSMMUG00000043484.2)
Source: RNAcentral
UGUUUCGUUUUCGGGGUUCCUAAAGAUUUGCUUGGAUUUCCAAAAUUUAUUGAAAAAAUUAAUUCUAAAACAUAGGAUUUGUUUUACAUUCUGUCCUAUUCCAUACAAAUUCUAGUAUUUUUCAUAUUAGAAUUACAUCUAAGGAGAUUGGUUUUGGGGGAGCAAGUAAGAGAUACCGGGGCUUCUUGAAGAUGAUGAAAAUGAACAGAAUCUAUUUAUUGAGGAGUUUCUGCUCACCGUAGUGUAUGGAUUAAUGGUUACAUUUAACCAUAAAUCCAUUAAUAUGUGAUUUCUUAAAUCUUCCUUUUCUUCAUGUAAGUUUUGUUAGAGGACACAGUCACUGCUAGGUGUUGAUUUUCCCACACCAGCUCCUCUCGCUGGGCAUGAGUGGAUGCAUACAGCAAGAGGAUAAAUCAGGAAUAAUGACUCUCACAGGGCAUGAGUAGAUGCAUACAGCAAGAGGAUAAAUCAGGAAUAAUGAAAGACCAUACAACAACAACAACACCACCACCUCCAUAUUUCCAUAAUCUCAGCAUAGAAGAGAAGAGUGUAGAAAGCAUCUGAUGACCUGGAACCUACCAAGAUGAAAACCAUGAGAAAGUGUCCAAGAGUUGUGUAGGUUUAAGUAUAUAUCGACACUUCCCCUUUGCAAAAACCAAGGAUAAGUUCUUCUCAAUAUAUUAUCCUCCCAAAACUCACCCCCCACCGCCAAAAAAAAAAAAAUUAUAAAACACCAGUGAAAACACUUUCUAUUGCUUUAAAAAGCUAGGAACAGACUGUAUAAUUGUGGCUUGACUUGGUCCUUCUUGCUGAUUGCAACAACAUGGACACACACACACUGUUUGGACUUCAGAAACAUGUGGCACAGAACACAAACUCUCACUUGUAGGAAUAGUCAUCAGACUUUCCCUGAGAAUAAAAAUUAGUGACACAAAGUGAAUCAUACCUUUAAAAUUGCCUUUCAAGUAAUCAGACAAAAAAAUAAAAAAUAAUAAAAAAAAGAGAUUGUGCUGAGUCACUCAGAACUAGAAAUAAAUUUCGGGACAACUUUUACAGGCUCAGAGAACUGGCUUCUUUUCUUAUCUUCAAGGCAGUUUCAGCUGAACUAAAACCAGUGCUGGCAUUCAGAACACAGUUUAAGAAGAUAUAAAGAAACGAAGCAUGCUAAAAAAAAAAAAGCGUCUUAUGCCUAUAAAUCUAUCAUUUUAGGGUCAUACGUUGACAAGUGGGUGGGUCAGAAUCGGCAAAACUUGAUUCAAGUACACUACUGAAGAGGCCUGCUGGUUUGUGGUUCCUUUCCCCCAUUGCACUCCUUCCUGUGACUUCUUUUAUAUUUAUUUUAGGUUAUGUU